CUACAAAGUGAUCCAUAGCAAUUCUGGAGUGGUGAGUUUGAUUUUCAUUAUGCUGGCUUAACAAAGGUACUGAAAACAUGUUGUUUAUAUAUUUAAGCUUAUUAUUAUGGUUCCAUAUUAUUAUAUUAGUUGUAACUGAAGUUGUAAUUCUGAGUCACAUAAAACUAAUUUAUUGCAGAGCUUGAAGAUGUGCUGGAAGAGACAGUAGAUACUCGUUCAGUCCUCCAGUAAGUGGACAUCAGGAGAUAUUUCCUCAGUAUGAUAAGGGGUCCAGAGCAUUGGCUCUGCUGGUUUAAAACCACCAAGACCUGCUACUUGGCUCAGGAGGGAUUCCCUUAUAUCAAUACAGAUUAUUGUUUCACUGGCAUACAGGUAAGGGAUUAUUCAUUGUAUCAUCACAAAACCUUUGUUAAUUGAAGUGACUAACUGUCAUAAUGUGUAUAUGUAUUGUAAAUAGUAACUUAUGGAAUUUUGUCUGCAGUGUCAAUAAUUGUUUUUGUUUGUAUCUUUUUUAAAUUACAUCAACCCUUGAAAAGUUUUACCUGCACCUACCUGUAUGUGGGUCCAGAUGGUCAGGUGGACACCUCCACUUGGGUGCAGGAACAUGGUCAUAACUCUCCCUACACUCCACCAUUACAACUUCCUGGAUGUGUUUUACGAGCUGCUUCACUUCAGAUACUCCACUUCACUCAGCUCCUGAGGCAGGAUGAGGGAUGAUUCUUGCAGAGCCUGUUUGGGUUCAUCAACAUGUGGGACACAGAUGUUUGGGAGCCUGCAGCAGAGUUGUACUUCACAGUGCCUAUUCAGAAGGAUGUCUUCAUGAGUGAAAUAGAUUUCAUUAGACAGACCUUUGAGGACAUGCAGGAGCAGAAAAUUUGCUUGAUGCAGAAUCUCUACAGAACAGCCAAUGCCAACAUCAUGCUCAUGUC
Long non-coding RNA from Ictalurus punctatus (channel catfish), 929 nucleotides. The record is from Ensembl. NCBI's taxonomy places the organism in Eukaryota, Metazoa, Chordata, Actinopteri, Siluriformes, Ictaluridae.